Molecule: ribosomal RNA, 649 nt
Filed under: uncultured bacterium
Lineage: Bacteria
Description: bacterial SSU rRNA
Rfam family: Bacterial small subunit ribosomal RNA
Source: RNAcentral
AGAGUUUGAUCCUGGCUCAGGAUGAACGCUGGCGGUAUGCCUAACACAUGCAAGUCGUACGAGAGUUUUUAACUCUAGUGGCGGACGGGUGAGUAACACGUGAGAAUUUGCCUUUAGGAGGGGGAUAACAAUUGGAAACGAAUGCUAAUACCCCAUAUGCUUUCGAGUGAAAUGAAUUUUUUAUUUGCCUAAAGAGAAGCUCGCGGCUGAUUAGCUUGUUGGUAAGGUAAGAGCUUACCAAGGCGACGAUCAGUAUCUGGUUUGAGAGGACGAUCAGACACACUGGAACUGAGACACGGUCCAGACUCCUACGGGAGGCAGCAGUGGGGAAUUUUCCGCAAUGGGCGAAAGCCUGACGGAGCAAUACCGCGUGAGGGAAGAAUGCCUAUGGGUUGUAAACCUCUUUUUUCAGGGAGGAAUAAAUGACGUGUACCUGAAGAAUAAGCAUCGGCUAACUCCGUGCCAGCAGCCGCGGUAAGACGGAGGAUGCAAGUGUUAUCCGGAAUCACUGGGCGUAAAGCGUCUGUAGGUGGUUUAAUAAGUCAACUGUUAAAUCUUGAGGCUCAACUUCAAAAUCGCAGCUGAAACUAUUAGACUAGAGUAUAGUAGAGGUAAAGGGAAUUUCCAGUGUAGCGGUGAAAUGCGUAGA